This 331-nucleotide long non-coding RNA is filed under the name Musa acuminata (dwarf banana). RNAcentral's name for it is "long non-coding RNA (MACU_LNC004983)". The record is from RNAcentral. Lineage: Eukaryota; Viridiplantae; Streptophyta; Magnoliopsida; Zingiberales; Musaceae.
GAGCCAGAAGCAUUCACCCGCAAUGAGUGGGUAUAAACCACUGGCGAAUGCUGCCAUCAACGCUAGCAGUGAGAUCUGCAACGUCAGUCUGGCUUCGGGAAGAUACCGGUUCUUAUAUAUUUUACUGCCCAAGUCGACCUGAAGGAGGAGGAGGAGAACCAGGAAGGAUGUUGACAUAGCCAAGGUGUCAAAUAUCAGAAACACUUUGAAAGCAGUUCUUUUCAGUAAUAUCGGCAUGCCUGGAUCAUUGCUCUCAUCGCUUUUGUAGCCUCCUGGCAAAGUAAAUGCUGCAGCGAAUGCGACGGUGGCAACUAGCACGGCCAUAACGGAC